Molecule: long non-coding RNA, 715 nt
Organism: Ictalurus punctatus (channel catfish)
Lineage: Eukaryota; Metazoa; Chordata; Actinopteri; Siluriformes; Ictaluridae
Source: Ensembl
GUAUGUAUGUGUGUGUGUAUAGGUAUGUGUAUGUAUGGUAUUGGAUGUGUGUGUAUAGGUAUGAAUGUAUGUGUGUGUGUGUAUAGGUAUGUGUGUGUGUAUAUAGGUAUGUGUGUGUGUGUAUAUAGGUAUGUGUGUGUGUGUAUAGGUAUGUGUGUGUGUAGGUAUGUAUGUGUGUGUAUAGGUAUGAAUGUAUGUGUGUGUGUGUGUAUGUAUAUGUAUUUAUAUAAAUUAAUCAAAUACUGCCUAUCUUCCUGUGAUACAUCUGUUAAUGUAAUUCAUGUUUAUUCCUGUUUAAUGUUUAUUUUAUUCAUUAUUGCUCUUCUAUUCCUUUAUUUGUUGUUAUUGAUUGAAUAUAUAACUUCUGUAUUCAUUUGCGUUGGCAACAUUGUUAAAACAGUCACGCCAAUAAAGCACACUGUGAAGUGAACUGACAGACAGAGGGAGAGAGAGAUGGAAUGAGAAAGAGAGAGAGAGAGAGAGAGAGAGAGAGAGAGAGAGAGAGAGAGAGAGAGGGAGAGAUGGAACGAGAAAGAGCGAUAGAGAGAGAGAUGGAAAGAGAAGGAGAGAGAUAGAGAUGGAAAGAGAGAGAGAGAGAGAGAGAGAGGGAGAGAGAUGGAAAGAGAAGGAGAGAGAGAGAGAGAGAGAGGGAGAGAGAUGGAAAGAGAAGGAGAGAGAGAGAGAGAGAGAGGGAGAGAGAUGGAACGAGAAAGAG